This 506-nucleotide ribosomal RNA is filed under the name uncultured bacterium. RNAcentral describes it as "partial 16S ribosomal RNA". It matches the Rfam family "Bacterial small subunit ribosomal RNA", at positions 30 to 523 of the family's 1533-position model. The record is from RNAcentral.
AUUGAACGCUGGCGGCAGGCCUAACACAUGCAAGUCGAGCGGCAGCGGAAAGUAGCUUGCUACUUUGCCGGCGAGCGGCGGACGGGUGAGUAAUGUCUGGGAAACUGCCUGAUGGAGGGGGAUAACUACUGGAAACGGUAGCUAAUACCGCAUAACGUCGCAAGACCAAAGAGGGGGACCUUCGGGCCUCUUGCCAUCAGAUGUGCCCAGAUGGGAUUAGCUAGUAGGUGGGGUAACGACUCACCUAGGCGACGAUCCCUAGCUGGUCUGAGAGGAUGACCAGCCACACUGAAACUGAGAAACAGUCCAGACGCCUACGAGAGGCAGCAGUGGGGAAAAUUGCACAAUGGGCGCAAGCCUGAUGCAGCCAUGCCGCGUGUAUGAAGAAGGCCUUCGGGUUGUAAAGUACUUUCAGCGGGGAGGAAGGUGUUGAGGUUAAUAACCUCAGCAAUUGACGUUACCCGCAGAAGAAGCACCGGCUAACUCCGAGCGAGCAGCCGCCGUAA